AAUAAGUGCAAUUUUGCACUAUUUAUAUUCAAUGUUUGACCGUUCGUCUUAUUUGAAAUUUUUUUAUGAUUAGUAUUUUUAUUGCUAUUAGAUGAUAAAACAUGAAUAGUACUGUAUGUGUGACUAAAUAUUUUUAAAUUUUUCAAAUAAGACGGACGGUCAAACGUUGGGCACGGAUAUCCACGGCUGCACUUAUU
This 197-nucleotide microRNA precursor is filed under the name Oryza sativa Japonica Group (Japanese rice). Its description in RNAcentral is "MIR812 microRNA precursor family". It matches the Rfam family "MIR812 microRNA precursor family". The record is from Rfam by way of RNAcentral. Lineage: Eukaryota; Viridiplantae; Streptophyta; Magnoliopsida; Poales; Poaceae.